UACGUAGGUGGCGAGCGUUGUCCGGAAUUAUUGGGCGUAAAGGGAGCGCAGGUGGGAAAGUAAGUCUGCUUUAAAAGUGCGGGGCUCAACCCCGUGAGGGAGUGGAAACUAUUUUUCUUGAGUGCAGGAGAGGAAAGGAGAAUUCCUAGUGUAGCGGUGAAAUGCGUAGAGAUUAGGAAGAAUACCAGUGGCGAAGGCGCCUUUCUGGACUGUAACUGACGCUGAGGCUCGAAAGCGUGGGGANCAAACAGG
This 252-nucleotide ribosomal RNA is filed under the name uncultured microorganism. RNAcentral describes it as "partial small subunit ribosomal RNA". It matches the Rfam family "Bacterial small subunit ribosomal RNA", at positions 524 to 776 of the family's 1533-position model. The record is from RNAcentral.